Molecule: ribosomal RNA, 164 nt
Filed under: uncultured bacterium
Lineage: Bacteria
Description: partial 16S rRNA
Rfam family: Bacterial small subunit ribosomal RNA
Source: RNAcentral
UAGGGAAUCUUCCACAACGGGCGCAAGCCUGAUGGAGCAACACCGCGUGAGUGAAGAAGGGUUUCGGCUCGUAAAGCUCUGUUGUUAAAGAAGAACACGUAUGAGAGCAACUGUUCAUACGUUGACGGUAUUUAACCAGAAAGUCACGGCUAACUACGUGCCAG